AGAACGAACGCUGGCGGCAGGCUUAACACAUGCAAGUCGAACGCGUGUAGCAAUACACGAGUGGCGCACGGGUGAGUAACGCGUGGAUAUCUGCCUUUUGGUUCGGAAUAACCCCGGGAAACUGGGGCUAAUACCGGAUGGUUCCUUCGGGAUAAAGAUUUAUCGCCAAAAGAUGAGUCCGCGUACGAUUAGCUAGUUGGUGAGGUAAUGGCUCACCAAGGCGACGAUCGUUAGCUGGUCUGAGAGGACGAUCAGCCACACUGGGACUGAGACACGGCCCAGACUCCUACGGGAGGCAGCAGUGGGGAAUAUUGGACAAUGGGGGCAACCCUGAUCCAGCCAUGCCGCGUGAGUGAUGAAGGCCUUCGGGUUGUAAAGCUCUUUUGGCGGGGACGAUGAUGACGGUACCGCAGAAUAAGCCCCGGCUAACUUCGUGCCAGCAGCCGC
This 447-nucleotide ribosomal RNA is filed under the name uncultured bacterium. RNAcentral describes it as "SSU rRNA". It matches the Rfam family "Bacterial small subunit ribosomal RNA", at positions 26 to 518 of the family's 1533-position model. The record is from RNAcentral.